GGCCUCGUAGCUCAGCUGGUAGAGCAUGUGUGUAAAAGCGUAGGCGGCGUCCAUGCGUGGGUUCGAAUCCCACCGAGGCUA
RNAcentral lists this transfer RNA (81 nucleotides) under Echinostoma caproni. It matches the Rfam family "tRNA". From Rfam's summary of the family: Transfer RNA (tRNA) molecules are approximately 80 nucleotides in length. Their secondary structure includes four short double-helical elements and three loops (D, anti-codon, and T loops). The record is from Rfam by way of RNAcentral. Lineage: Eukaryota; Metazoa; Platyhelminthes; Trematoda; Plagiorchiida; Echinostomatidae.